Molecule: unclassified non-coding RNA, 478 nt
Filed under: Penaeus japonicus
Lineage: Eukaryota; Metazoa; Arthropoda; Malacostraca; Decapoda; Penaeidae
Description: uncharacterized LOC122251793, transcript variant X1
Source: RNAcentral
CGCUGCGCUCUGCUCCCGCACUGAAACAUAUAAACCCGACAGGAGAGAAAGAUAAAUAGAUUCGAAAGAGUGAGACUUUGAAAGAAAAUAAAUAAAGACACAUCCUACAAAAACAAAACAAAAAAACAAAAGGGUGUGAGAUCUAAUCAUGACAUAAACACGAUCAUAGAGGAAUAUAUAUAUAUAAAAAAAAAGAAAAUCGGAAACACCGUUUGACUCCUCGAAGCCCUUUAUAGUGUCUGUGAUUUGCGAGAGAAAGAAAACAAGAGGAAUUUUUUGCCAAUGAUCCCAAGCUUGCAAGUGCUCGCUGAGCUGAGCUACCUUAGUGAUGGUAGCAAAUGAAGAUGCAUAUAUGACAGAUAUGCCAAAGACGUCCACGCUGGAGUACAAAGCAGGUCUUCAUUCUCCGAGCCUCCACAGCCCGGUAAAGGGAGACCCACAGAAAGCAAUGGAAGGGUAAGUGUUUUGAUUCUGAUUU